Molecule: ribosomal RNA, 252 nt
Filed under: uncultured bacterium
Lineage: Bacteria
Description: partial 16S ribosomal RNA
Rfam family: Bacterial small subunit ribosomal RNA
Source: RNAcentral
UACGGAGGGGGCGAGCGUUAUCCGGAAUCACUGGGCGUAAAGGGUGCGUAGGCGGCCGAUAAAGUCAGGGGUGAAAGGCUACGGCUUAACCGUAGUAAGCCUUUGAAACUUAUUGGCUUGAGAGCAGGAGAGGAGAAUGGAAUUCCUAGUGUAGCGUUGAAAUGCUUAGAUAUUAGGAGGAACACCAGUGGCGAAGGCGACUCUCUGGACUGUAACUGACGCUGAGGCCCGAAAGCGUGGGGAGCGAACAGG